Molecule: unclassified non-coding RNA, 337 nt
Filed under: soil metagenome
Description: partial contains 5.8S ribosomal RNA, internal transcribed spacer 2, and large subunit ribosomal RNA
Rfam family: 5.8S ribosomal RNA (bases 1-120)
Source: RNAcentral
GAUGAAGAACGCAGCGAAAUGCGAUAAGUAGUGUGAAUUGCAGAAUUCAGUGAAUCAUCGAAUCUUUGAACGCACAUUGCGCCCCUUGGUAUUCCAUGGGGCAUGCCUGUUCGAGCGUCAUUUGUACCUUCAAGCUCUGCUUGGUGUUGGGUGUUUGUCUCGCCUCUGCGUGUAGACUCGCCUCAAAACAAUUGGCAGCCGGCGUAUUGAUUUCGGAGCGCAGUACAUCUCGCGCUUUGCACUCAUAACGACGACGUCCAAAAGUACAUUUCUACACUCUUGACCUCGGAUCAGGUAGGGAUACCCGCUGAACUUAAGCAUAUCAAUAAGCGGAGGA